UAUAACUGCCAGGCUGCUGAGAGCCGACCUGCAUCCUUGCCAGAGUCGGAGUAUCCAAUCAUCACUUCUUGCUUGCCAUUAAUCCGGUUUCUGUACCACUCAAUUGAGAAAAGACGUGCAACGGCUGCAGGAGCAGCAUCCAGAUCGGCCAACUUCUCAAAAAGUGGAACAACUCGUAAAGGUUGCCUAACUCGGCAUUCACGCUGUAGAAGCUCAA
RNAcentral lists this unclassified non-coding RNA (217 nucleotides) under Hevea brasiliensis (rubber tree). Lineage: Eukaryota; Viridiplantae; Streptophyta; Magnoliopsida; Malpighiales; Euphorbiaceae. The record is from RNAcentral.